GAUGGACCCUAAGGGUGCAUAGAAUGAAUUCAAAGCUUCAAAAUAGAAAACUAACCGGUCGAAGAUCAAAGAACGAUGAAGAACGAACGAAAAACGAUGAAGAACGAACGAAAAACGAUGAAGAACGAUCAUGGAAUUGAUCACGGACAUGUUACAAAAGCGUUACGGAAGCGCCUCGGCCUUGAUUUUUCUUUUUCUUUCUCCUUCUUUUCAC
RNAcentral lists this long non-coding RNA (214 nucleotides) under Glycine max (soybean). RNAcentral describes it as "long non-coding RNA (GMAX_LNC004520)". Lineage: Eukaryota; Viridiplantae; Streptophyta; Magnoliopsida; Fabales; Fabaceae. The record is from RNAcentral.